AACGAACGCUGGCGGCAUGCCUAACACAUGCAAGUCGAACGAGACCUUCCGGUCUAGUUGCGGAAGGGUGCGUACCACGUGGUAACCUGCCCUUAGGUACGCAAUCACUCCCCCAAAGAUAUGCUAGUACCGCUUAGUGUCUUCGGACCAAAGAUUUAUCUCCUUUGGGUGGGCCCGCGUUAGAUUAGCAAGUUGGUAUGGUACAACCCUACCAAGGCGACGUGCCAUAGCUGGUCGGAAAGGAGGCUAAGCCAGACGGGGAAUGAGACACGGCCCACACCCCUAGGCGAGGGAGAAGUGGAGAAUAUUGGACAAGGGGGGAAAGUGUGAUCCAGCAAUGCCGCGUGAGUGAUGAAGGCCUUAGGGUUGUAAAUCUCGUUUAGCCGAGAUGAUAAUGACAGUACCGGGAGAAUAAGCUCCGGCUAACUCCGUG
This 433-nucleotide ribosomal RNA is filed under the name uncultured bacterium. Its description in RNAcentral is "partial 16S ribosomal RNA". It matches the Rfam family "Bacterial small subunit ribosomal RNA", at positions 29 to 507 of the family's 1533-position model. The record is from RNAcentral.